GACGAACGCUGGCGGCGCGCCUAACACAUGCAAGUCGAACGAGCGAGAGAGAGCUUGCUUUCUCAAGCGAGUGGCGAACGGGUGAGUAACGCGUGAGGAACCUGCCUCAAAGAGGGGGACAACAGUUGGAAACGACUGCUAAUACCGCAUAAGCCCACGGAACCGCAUGGUUCUGGGGGAAAAGGAGCAAUUCGCUUUGGGAUGGACUCGCGUCCGAUUAGCUGGAUGGUGAGGUAACGGCCCACCAUGGCAACGAUCAGUAGCCGGUCUGAGAGGAUGAACGGCCACAUUGGGACUGAGAUACGGCCCAG
This 311-nucleotide ribosomal RNA is filed under the name uncultured bacterium. Its description in RNAcentral is "bacterial SSU rRNA". It matches the Rfam family "Bacterial small subunit ribosomal RNA", at positions 28 to 334 of the family's 1533-position model. The record is from RNAcentral.